GCUGAAGAGGACCCUCAUAAAUGUGCC
RNAcentral lists this non-coding RNA (27 nucleotides) under Mus musculus (house mouse). Lineage: Eukaryota; Metazoa; Chordata; Mammalia; Rodentia; Muridae. The record is from RNAcentral.